GAUGAACGCUGGCGGCGUGCCUAAUACAUGCAAGUCGAGCGAACAGACGAGGAGCUUGCUCCUCUGACGUUAGCGGCGGACGGGUGAGUAACACGUGGAUAACCUACCUAUAAGACUGGGAUAACUUCGGGAAACCGGAGCUAAUACCGGAUAAUAUAUUGAACCGCAUGGUUCAAUAGUGAAAGACGGUUUUGCUGUCACUUAUAGAUGGAUCCGCGCCGCAUUAGCUAGUUGGUAAGGUAACGGCUUACCAAGGCAACGAUGCGUAGCCGACCUGAGAGGGUGAUCGGCCACACUGGAACUGAGACACGUUCCAGACUCCUACGGGAGGCAGCAGUAGGGACUCUUCCGCAAUGGGCGAAAGCCUGACGUAGCAACGCCUCGUGAGUGAUGAAGGUCUUCUGAUCGUAAAACUCUGUUAUUAGGGAAGAACAAAUGUGUAAGUAACUAUGCACGUCUUGACGGUACCUAAUCAGAAAGCCACGGCUAACUACGUG
Molecule: ribosomal RNA, 497 nt
Filed under: uncultured bacterium
Lineage: Bacteria
Description: partial 16S ribosomal RNA
Rfam family: Bacterial small subunit ribosomal RNA
Source: RNAcentral